ACGGAAGGCAGCAGUGAGGAAUAUUGGUCAAUGGACGGAAGUCUGAACCAGCCAUGCCGCGUGAAGGAUGAAUGCCCUAUGGGUUGUAAACUUCUUUUGCCGCAGAGUAAUAAGGGUCCUGCGGGGCCCGAUGAGAGUAUGCGGCGAAUAAGCAUCGGCUAACUCCGUGCCAGCAGCCGCGGUAAUACGGAGGAUGCGAGCGUUAUCCGGAUUUAUUGGGUUUAAAGGGUGCGUAGGCGGGAUGUUAAGUCAGCGGUGAAAGUUUGCGGCUCAACCGUAAAAUUGCCGUUGAAACUGGCGUUCUUGAGUGUAAACGAGGUAGGCGGAAUGUGACGUGUAGCGGUGAAAUGCUUAGAUAUGUCACAGAACCCCGAUUGCGAAGGCAGCUUACCAGCAUACAACUGACGCUGAGGCACGAAAGCGUGGGUAUCAAACAGGAUUAGAUACCCUGGUA
This 454-nucleotide ribosomal RNA is filed under the name uncultured Porphyromonadaceae bacterium. RNAcentral describes it as "bacterial SSU rRNA". It matches the Rfam family "Bacterial small subunit ribosomal RNA", at positions 341 to 792 of the family's 1533-position model. Lineage: Bacteria; Pseudomonadati; Bacteroidota; Bacteroidia; Bacteroidales; Porphyromonadaceae. The record is from RNAcentral.